CUGUGAACCUACGGUUUGGAAAAUGCAGAUCCCACUGUAGUCCUCGAUGAGAUCAGCUAUCUACAGUCUAUACUGAACCUGAAAUGGGUGGAAAGGAGGGUGGUGAGAUUAUAAAAUCCCAAUGAGUAAACAAACAUCAUCAUAAACAUCUAGAGUUGAGUACAUGGAGACAAUAAAGUAAAUCAUCAUAAACUGGGUUAUAGCAUUAGAACACAUUUUGUUCAAAACACGUAAAGAGGCUUAUGAAUCUCAUAAAAAUCUAGGCUUGUGCCAUAAAUCCAUUCUCGGGGACACCUUGGCCGAGGCAUCCUACCGAGACCGCCAAGGCUAUUAAAAUUCACAUUUCACAUAAAUCAUGUUUUUGUUUUGAAAACAUAGCCGUUCCUUGGCGUUGGCUGAGUUCCCCCUCACGUGGUGGUUUAGCGUGAAGUGAACCCUAAACUUUACCCCAGGAGAUACCCUACGCGCCUCUCCGUUCGAGGUAAGAAUAUAAUGGGGUUUACCGUGCCCCUCUAAAAGGCUGGUCCACAGAAACCCCCUACUGCAGUGAUUAAUUAAUAUAUAAUCCACCAUAUAAUAAAACUCAAUAACAUGAUAUGGCAAUUUUGUAAUUCGUAGUUUUUCAAGGUAACCAAACAAUUCGCAUUUCAAUACAAUUGCCAACUAGCCAAUCAUGCUCGAUUUAUCAUAAGCCAGUUAAUUUAAACAAUCAAAUUGCCACAAUUAACAGUCUCCGUGUACUCUAUUUUUCAAAAUCACUAUUAAUUUCAAAACAAUUUAUAAUUUAAUUUCAUUGAAACUCAUUUAUUCAUAAAACAUGAAAAUUUAUCUUUUUAAAUUCCUUUUUCCAUAGAAUUCAUGAAAGCAUCUAAAAACCACCCUAGAUAAUUAAAAUGACAGUAAGUUUACUCACAAUGUCUAGAAUGCAGACUUUCGAAGCACUCUGUCUACUGGUCCUCGGAUGCAAUUUCCUUGCCUUUAUCGGAGGACUCACCACCUUGACACAGUACAAAAUCGAGAGUUUCACCAAGUUGGUACUAAAUCAAAAUUAAACUAAUUUAGACUACCAAUGCAUGAUAUGGAAUGCAAAAAUGCACUGGUAACUAUCUAAACCCGGUAUUGGCCUAAUUCGUCUUAUCACCCGAUUAAAUUCCUAACGGGUCCGUUUAAACUCCAAUUUAAUUCUUUUCAGUUUCUAUACCUCAAUUGCACCCAAAUUAACUUAAUGUCCCUCAGUGUGGUGCAAAUUAUCAGUCCCAACAGCAAAUUACGAAAAUACCCCUAGUGGGUAAAAAUUCGUAUUUUUGCUCCGAAAAUUCCCAUUAUUUUUCUAGGCUCAUAAUUCAUUAUUCCUUAACCAAUUCUCCUAGAAUAAAAUCAAACUCAUCCUCACUCACUACAUGGUAAAUUCAGCCAUUAAUGGUUGGGGGAGAAAAUAAAUUCUUUUCUUGUUGUUUUGUUUCUAAAUAUGCUAAACUAACUAAAAACACUAACAUAAAUUAAAAUCAAAUAAAUCCAACAACUUUCUCUCUCCUAACCCAUUUUUUCAGAAUUGAAUUCAUCAUGAAAACAUGUAAUUUAAUCAUGGAAAAUAAAGAGAAAUGCUUGGGAAUAAGAAAACUCAAGCUUAAUAGAAAAAAUCUCACCUUUUUCACUUAAUUUCCUUGAAAAUUCACACUUUUUCUUUGAUUUUCUCUCUCUAGGGUUUUGUUUUUGUUUUCUCUCUCUUCUUGCUGGUUUGGCCGGCCAUGGGUGGAAGAUGAGCUGAUUUUUGUGCUUUUAAAAAAGAAAAAUAAUAAAUUAAUAAAGGCAUGACACGUGGCAUCAUGUCAUUGGUCCGUUUUUUAAAUUUUAAAAAUUUAAACAUUUUAUCUCCACCACAUGAUUAGUCAAAGGUCAAAGAUGAAGAUAAAGGAAGACCAUGUGCUGGAAAAAUAUCCUGGCGGUGGAAAAUUACAAUUUUGCCCAUGAGGUGGCAAAAUUACCAUUUUACCCUUUUACUCCAAAUUAUAUCGAAAUUAAAAUUUUUCACUUCUAAACCUCAAAUCAUACUCCAAUAAGUCAAAUUAUACUCCAAUAAGACAAUUGGGGUCAAAAAAAUCUUUGCUAAAAUUUUCAUUUUGUCCGCAGGUGGCAAAUGACCAUUUUGCCCUUAGUUAGUGAAAAUUCCGAUUUGACUCCAAAUUGAUCCUCAAACUCCAAAUUACCAUUUUAAGUCAUCCAUGAACUGUGAAACUCUUAAUCUCACCUUAAAAUUCCUUUUUGAUCUAGUUCGAGGAUUAAAUAAAUUUUGUUGUACCUCUAGGUACAAUACCGACUUUUGUAAAUUUUUCGGGACUCUCCUAACAUGCAAUCAUGCUAUCAUCACAUGUAUGUCAUGAAUAGUAUUUUAUAAGGUCGGGCUUUACAAGUUAUUUUGAUUUCCAGGCAAAUUUUAUUGUGAAUUUUUAAAUCUUGCUUCUCGCCAUACUAAUAUAAUUUUAAUGUCGAAUUUCUAAAGAUUAGUUAGAUCAUAAGGUGCAAAAAUUAAUUCUACAAUUAAAGUAGUAAGCUGAUGAUAUUGUGGCGCGUUAUUUAUGCGAGAAUCCAAUUCUGCUAACUUUUGUAAAGGUCUAGCUUUUUAAAUAAAGUUUAAGUGCCUUAGAAAAUGUUGAAAAUUAAGGAACGCGUUGGAAAUGUUAUGAGAUGGGUGAUUAUGUGCGGAUGAUGAUGGAGGUAAAGCUACCAAAACGUGGCUGAAAUAGGUGUUAUUUGCAACAGUAACAGUCAUGGUUUUGUUCAGCUCGGCAACCAAGAAAGGCCUAAAUUUGUACAAUUUGUUGCACCAAUUAGCUGAGGAUAUUUUUAUGGAAAGGUUCCAUAAAUUAUCCAAAUUAUUGCCAAGAAUUUUAAGGAUUUAAAUCCCUAAAAUUAAGCCUUCAUAAAACUGGUGGAGUCAAAACUGUUGCUACCUUUAAAGCAACAAGCCAUGGUUUUUGAAUUUUUUGAUAGCCAAAAACAUUCCCUAAAAUACUAAAAAAUUACUAUGGAAUUGUUCUAUUAGUUUUCUAUCAAGAAAAAUUUAAUUGGAAAUUAAAUUCCUGAUUUUAUGCCACCAAAUAGCUUCAACGAAAAGAUAAAACUGAAACUACCUCUGUAGAUAAAGGUCAAGGUUUUGAAUUUUUUGACAAUAAAAAACAUUUCCUAAAAUCCUAAAAAAAUAUUCUAGAAUAGUUCCAUGAGUUAUCUAUCAAGAUAAAUUUUAUUACAAAUUAAAUUCCUAAGUUACAUUAUAAAGAGUUUCAAAAGCACUCAAAAACCAAUUUUGCCACCUGCAGAUAAAGGUCACGGUUUUUGAAUUUUUUCAAUAGCCAAAUCACCUCACAAAAUUAGGGAUGUCAAUGGGUCGGGUACCCUAUAAUUUCGAGGUAUCCAAACCCUAACCCUAUUAAAAAUUAACUACCCUAACCCUAUUAACUACCCGAAUAAUUUAAAAAUUACUACCCUAACCCUAACCCUAAUGCAUUCCUACUACCCUAUAAUUACCCUAACUUGUUUAAAUACCCGAAUAAAUAAAAAAAUUAUUAAAAUCUUCUUCAUGGGUACCCAAUUACCCAAUUAACUUUUCUAAUCUCAUAACUUCUCUUUAGAUUUAUAUGUUAUAAAUUUAUAUAAACAAAGGUAUAUAUACUGUAAUUAAUAAUUUUAUGAGUUAUAAUUUUUGCAAUAUUAACACAAAAUAAAAAGUAAAUAUAUUUAUAUUUAAACAACAUAUAUAUAUACACACACAUAUAUAAAAAAUAUUUUAAUAUAUAAAAUAGUAAUUAUAUUUCUUAUAAAUUAACACAAUAUAUAAACUAUAUAUAUUAAAAGACAUUACAAGUUAAUUAAUAAUAAUAGUUUCAUGAAUUAAUUUAAUUAAUUAUAAGGAUUUAUUCUUAAUUUCAUGAAAUUAUAAAAAAAUAUUUAGGUUCCAAAACUAUUCUAAUAUCAAAAGCUUUCUUUAAGUAUAUAUAUUAUAAGAUUAUAUAAAUAAUGGUAUAUAUAUAAUAAUUAAUAAUUUUAUAAGUCAUAAUUUUUGUAAUGUUAACAUAAAAUAGAAAGUAAAUAUUGUAUAUUAAAAGUAUAUAUAUAAUAGUACUUAUAUUCCUUUAUAAUAUGAUAUAAUAUUCAAAUUAUUUAAACAUAAUUAACAAUCUAAUAAUUUUUUAAUUUAAAUAUAUUAAUGUCAUCAUAUUAAUAAUUAGAGUAACCAUACUUUUCAUAUACUUGUUAGUUUUUAACAAAAACAAAUUGCUUGUAAAGUUGAUAGAAAUUGUAAAUUUUUAAUUUAAUUAUUAAAAUAAUAAUAAAAUAUUUAUAAAUAGUAAUCAGGUUCGGGUAAUGAGUACCCAAGGGGUGGUAUCCGAACCCCACCCGAAUCCAAUUCGGGUAGUAAAAUAACUACCCGAACCCUUUUAUGGAGUACCCUAACCCGGUGUAACCGGGUAGGUUACCCAUUGACAUCCCUACACAAAAUCCUUAAAAUUUAUUCUGAAAUAGUUCCAUGAGUUUUCUAGUAGAAUAAAUUUUAUUUGAAUUAAAUUCCUAAAAAUAGAGCACCACAAUCCAUGUAAUUAAGACAUGUCUGCUGUUGUCUGUAGCAAGACACUAUCUUGGUUAAGACAUAGGAUAUGUCUAAAUUUUACACCAAUAAAUGAUAAAUUAAAUUAGUUAGUUGGCUGAGGAUUAUUUAUAGAAUUAGUUCCAUAGCAUGCUGAUUUUUGAAACAUUUAAUUUAAGGAAUAUGAAUCCUAAAAUUAAGAAUGUCAAAGAUGAUGCAUUAUCAUGCAUCAUAUAAAGAAAUAUGAUUUCUUAAAUUAUGAAAGUUAAAAUAUCUUCAUUAGCUACUUAAAUAUUUUUGGAAUAUGUUCCACAAAUAUUGAAAAUUGAUUUCAUAAAUUCUGGAAUGUGAUUCCUUAAUUUAAGGGUGUCAAAGUUUAAAUAAUUUAAGACAAUAUUAAUCUAAGAAUUAGAUUCCUAGUAGUAGUAAGAGUCUAAAUAUUUAUGAACAAAUUUGGUUUGAAUUGACUUCUUCUAAUUUGACAUUAAAUUUAAAGAUUAAACUGUCUAAGAUAUUCCCUAAUAAGAUUAGGUAAUAAUAGACACUCGUUGUUUAAUUAAAUGAGAUUUAUAAUUGGUUGCCCAAAAUGUUUAGGAACACAAAUUAAAAUGUUUUUAAUUUGUAAUUUGUAGUAAAAUUUUAAUUAUAAUCCUAAUAAAAUUAGGAGUUAAAGAAUUACUAAUUUUGAUUAGUAAAAGUUUUUAUUGUUAGAAUUAAAAAUAAAAAAAUUGCAAACCCGAAAAUUUGAAAUUAGUGAAAUUCAAAUAAAAAAAAUUUGCUAAUCUUAAAUACCUCGUAUGAUUAGCAAUUUGAAUAAGACAUGUUUUAAAUUUUUGUAUGUUCAUGUUGAUGAAUUUAUAUAGAUAUUUAUUGACUUAGGCUCAAUAUGAUUGUGCUAUAAUUGAAGUCUAUAUUUAUCUCAAGUAAUUUGCAUGUGAUAUAUUUAUUUUAUGAGAUUUAAUAAAUGUUAUGCAAUACAAAAUAGUAAGUAUAUGAUAGAUAUAUUUUAUGCGAUUUAAUAAAUUCUAUGCAUGCAAAAUGAAACCUUAAUAAGUUUGUAAAACAAAAUCCCUUAUGAAAAUAUUAAGUCACAUGUUAUGCAUGACUAAGUUGCUUUCCACCAUAUAGCAGGAUAACAUGGCUACUAUUUUAAUCAAAGACUUGUUAAGCACACUCAAGGCCACGUUGUUACAUGAGUAUGUUUGAGCUAUUGGUGGGUCUUACUCAACUAGAUUUAUAAAAUCCGAAUGCUUGAAAACUUGAUUAUUAUGGAAGUUAGAGGCAAUGGUUAGACGAAACAUAUAUGAUACGUUUAGUCAAUGUGUUGUCACCUAGCUGAUCUAGAAGUCACAUAAGAGAUGUGAUCGAUAAACUAAGUUAUCUACCCAAUUAGGCAUAUCAUGGCUUGUUAAGCAUACUCAAGGUCAUGAAAAGUUGAAUGAGGUCCUAGCCCAUUAGAAAGUUCCUAAAAGAGACUUUCCGAAAUGACAUUGAGGGUUGUCAUUUUGCAUAAAAAAUAGUGAGAGACCUACUUAAAAUUUUAAAGCCUUGUUUUAAAUAGUUUAUGCAUGAUUAUAUUUAUUGCUUUUAUCUUAUCUAUUCAGACAUAAUCUAUAUGAAUGGCUAACAACUUGUCACUUCAAAGCAUCUUGAAUGUAAACAAAAUGGCCCAAACUUCUUGAUUGGUUUUGGAACCUCAAGAUCAUCUGGAAACAGGAAAAGAAAUCAUAUGUCCUUGACACACUUAUUCCACUAGUCUUUGCUAAUGAUGCUAAAGCUGAGGAUAAAAAGGCAUAUCAAUGUUAUAAGGAUGAUAAUGAUCAGGUAGCGUGCGUGAUGCUAACCAGUAUGACCCAUAAGCUCCAAAAGCAGCAUAAACACAUGGAUAUCCAAUCCAUGAUUCUUUAUCUUAGAGAAUUGUUCGGUAAGAAAGGCACACUUAAAGAUAUAAGAUCUUUUAGGAAUUGUUCCAAUGCAAUAUGGUAAAGGGGAGUUCUGUCAGACCCCACAUACUGAAGAUGAUUAAACUAAUUGAGAGGCUUGGACAAUUAGGAAUAAUGAUGGAUCAUGAGCUGAGUACUAACUUAGUUCUACAAUCUCUUUCUGAUUACUUCAGUCAGUUCGUGUUAAACUUCCAUAUGAACCAUUUAGAAACUACUAUUCCUGAACUUUUGACUAUGACAAUUAAGUCCAUCAAAAGGGAAAAAGGAGCUUAGCUUCUUGUUUCUUCUUCAAAGGCUCAAAUGAAGCAAAAGAAGAAAAAAAAAACCAAAAAGGGAAAAAAGGUAACAUCCCAAAAUCAGAAGGCACUGAAGCUUAAGAGAGGUGUUAAAAAAGACAAAGAGAAGGAUAUUUGCCAUCACUGUGGCAAACUUGGGCAUUGGAGGAGGAGUUGUAAGGAGUACCUAGUUGUUGUAAGCAAGAAGAAGAAACUUAUUGAAGUUUAUAAUUCAAGUGCCAUUUCUUAAGAUAUAUUACUUUAUAUUAUAGAAGUAUAUGACACUUUAUGUUGGUCCGAAUAUGUAUGACAUGUUGCAGAGACCAAGAACAAAGAUGAGUAAGAUCUUAGUUGAGGAGGUGAGCACAUCCAUUGACUACAUAAACCAUUGGAUGCCACAUAUGGAUGGAUGUGCUCCUAUUUAAACUUAUGAUUUGAUUUAUUGGAUAAUUUGGUUAAACUUUUUGACAUUUAUUGCCAUAUAGAUGACUUGUGAAACAUUUAUAUUUAUCAUUUGGAUGUUAAAGUUUUAAUGUUUCAUGUUUGGAUAAUUAUUUGGAAUAAUUAUAUCUUAUUUUUAUCAUUAUCUACUUUUCAUAUUUCUCCUUGCAAUGGUAUUUAAUCAAUUAUAAAUUAUGAUUCAUGUCAAAUUAGUUUGAUUAAAAUAAAAUAAAUCAAUUAAAGUUAAUCAACUAAUCAUGUGCUAAUCAAUUAAUUAAGUGACCCUACUUAAGAUAAGAUUUUAGUUAAAGAUCAUUUGAGUUUGUUAUUAAUUGAUCAAAGGAAUGAAUGUCAAUUCAUGUGAAGAUGGAACCUUUUCAUGAUAGAACAUAGAGAUGUUUAUUCAAAGAGGAAAGCAAAGUCAUAUUUUGAUGUGAUUUGGUCCACCUCUCCAAUACAUUAAGCCCAUAAUGGUAUUCUACAACCAAUACAAUUCCAACUAUGCAUUGGCAUGUAUGUACGUAACUUUGUGGAAUAUUCAAAAGAGUUUGAAUAUUAUUCUCACAAAGAAUCUUGAAUUUAGUGGGAGCAUGAUGACAUUAAGAAAAUAGUUUCUUAAUAUUACUGUGUUACAUUGGAAUUCAAUACUAGAGCUUUUGCAUUAAGUUGCAUAAUCAAUAUAGUUGUAUGAGAACACCAUGGACUUAGUAAGAUACAUUGAGAUGUACUUUUCAUAUUAAAUGAAUCUACUAAAUAUGAUUUAAUGGAAUUUCACCCUUUAUUCUAUUUAGUGUGAUCCAAAGUGUUGGAUAUAAUAGAAUAUGUUGGUGCACCUGUCUCAUAUACAUGAGGAGAUUAGUGAAAGUGAAUAUAGUUCUUUAUUGAUACAAUUAUGUAAGAUGUAAUAUGUGUAUAAAGAAAAAAGCCAAGUUUUAAAUUAGUAAUGGAUGGCACAAUACUAAGUCACAAAAUGCAUGUGAUGCAUAAAGCAUAGUCAAGUUGGAAUAGUUCCAAAGUUAGAAAAAGAAUAUGAAUAUGUUUAUAAAUAAGGUCAUAUACAUCCAAUUAAAAGCUCGAGUAUGACGAUAUUUAAAUCAUUAGCUCAUGAACUAAUAAAAGGUUCUAGCCAUCGUUAAGAUAACAACAAAGCCACACUAAAAACUUAAGUCUCAUUGGAUCAAAAUAUAGUAAUAUGACAAGAUGUUGUGACAUCACAAGGAUAAGAGCAAUUAAUGACAUUAAAGGGCACGAGCGAGUCAAUAAAGAGACACGGUUGCUAAAUGGAUUAGUUCCACAUUGCGAUGAGAUAGCCAUUGGCUUUGUGUUAGUGGCAAAAUGUUAGGAUCAGCUUUAUAGCCAAUUGAGAUUGGUCAAGGCUUGGUUUCAAACAUUCAAUGAUAUUAUUCAUAUUGAAUGAUUAGAGGCUUUUUUCAUCAAUAAGACAUUGAUUAUAAUGAGUUAUACUUAUAAUUAGAUGAAGUCUUGGAGAUUAAUAUGCCUUGUAAAGGAAUUGUAAUGGGUUGCAGUUAUGAGAUCCCUAUGCAUCAAAGCAUAAUCUCAAAAUGUUCUUGGUCAAUAUAUCAUUGAGACUGGACAUCAAUGAUACUUACAGACUAGUAAAUUCUAUAUUCUUUACUUUAGAAGUAAGCAAUUGAUCUAAUAAAUUCAAGUAUAGAGAUACUUGGAACUAGAAUGUAAGUGCUUGCCUAGAAGAACAAGUUCACUGAACAUGACUCACCAUGGGAAGUGCAUUUGAUAAUACAUUCUAGUGUCUAUGCAACACUUCUCAUGAGUCAGUCAUGUAAAUACUCCUUUGACUUGAGACACUAGGUUGUCUUAUAUGUGGAGUGCUAUGCUUUAAUUUCAUCCCUAUUGUGCUUAACCAAAGAUGCCGAAGCAAGAUGCUUUUGGGUAUAAUAUAAAGUAUAUGAAGGCAAAUAAGUGGUCAAGAUAGGAAUCAUCACCUCAAAUGUUUUUAAAGGACAUAUCCUAUUAGUUCUUAGUUAACAUUAGCUUAUUGAAGUCUUUGGCCAAGGUGACUUGGAGAUUAUGAAAAGGUUUCAUAAGUUUUUAUAAAACUAAUGCUAAAAGUACAAGAACAAAUAUGGAGGUCAAUAACAAUAUACACUAUACCAAGUUUUUAUCAUCUCCGAAAUAUAUGAUGAGGGAAUGAAUUACAUUAAUCAACUAUAUACUAAAAGGUUGUCAAAUAACUCUUUGCCUCUCCUGAUAAUUGGGUGACCAUGAUGCAUUACCAGAUGCCAAUCUUGGUCUAUGGAAUUGAUUAUAAAUUAAUUUAUUGAUAUUUAUAUUAAUCAAUUAAGUUAUUAAUCAAUUCCAUUGCCAACAUGUUAGGAAUUUAAUGGAUCACACACAAUGAUUGCAUUUGAAUCAAAUUGAGAGAGUGAUGAUUUAUGUCACGACCCGGUACUCCCCUCGAGACCGUGACAACCGUCGCGACGUCCUAAUCGACACUCCUUACCCCGAAUGUCAACCGGAACCCCGCAAGACUUUAAUAUCAACUUCUCAUUUCCCCUGUGAGUAACUGUUGCCAAAUACCACGUUCUAAAAGAUUUUAAACUGUUUCCAACUUAAAACAAAUAAAAUAAUAAUUUUCGUCUCACAGGGGUAUUUUGGUCAUUUUCCUAAAAAAUUUCGAAACCGACUAAAAUGUAAUUUAUAAGUACAAAACACAUAAUUCAUAAUCAAAAUGUGUUUAAAAGUCUAAAAUCUUCAUUUAAAACGAAAUUAUGGUUAUUUGAAUAUAAUAAGAAAAUAAAGGAAAUAUUAAGUAAAAUAUUCUAUUUUCUUAUGAAAUAAUAUUUUUAGACUUAUACAUAAUUAAUUUUUGGAGCGUAAAAGCUAAAUAAAUAUAUAAAUACUGUAAUACAGUAAGCUAAAAUAUUUAAUUUAAUUUACAAUAAUAAGUGGGCCCUCGAAUACACAAAAGUAAAGAGGACUAUAAACUUACAAUUUGAAGAAUGCAAACCCAACGGUAGUCCUCGAUGAGAUCAGCUAUCUACAGUCUAAUCUGAGCUUGAAAUGGAGGGAAAGGAGGGUGGUGAGAUUAUAAAAUCCCAGUGAGUAAACAGACAUCAUCAUAAACAUCUAGAGUUGAGUACAUGGAGACAAUAAAAUAAAUCAUCGUAAACUGGGUCACAAAAUUAAAACACAUUUCAUUCAAAAUACGUAAAGAGGCUUAUGAAUCUCAUAAAAACUAGGCUUGUGCCAUAAAUCCAUUCUCGGGGACACCUUGGCCAAGGCAUCCUACCGAGAUCGCCAAGGCUGUUAAAAAUUCACAUUUCGCAUAAAUCAUGUUUUUAUUUUGAAAACAUAGCCGUUCCCUAGCGUUGGCUGAGUUUCCCCUCACGUGGUGGUUUAGCGUGAAGUGAACCCUAAACUUUACCCCAGGAGAUAUCCUACGCGCCUCUCCGAUCGAGGUAAGAAUAUAAUGGGGUUUACUGUGCCCCUCUAAAAGGCUGGUCCACAUAAACCCCUUAUUGUAGUGAUUAAUUAAUAUAUAGUCCACCAUAUAAUAAAGUUUUGACAACAUGACAGGGCUAAUAAAAUACUACCGAGCCUGCAAGGGUAAAAUAAAAUAAUUCAUACAAUUCAUAAAACACAGCCCAGCUAGUCAUGCCAAUACAAUAACAAUAUAACAUAAGCCAUCAAUUUAAACAAUCAAAUUGUCACAAUUAACAGUUUCCGUGAACUCUAUUUUUUAAAAUCAUUAUUAAUUUCAAAAUAAUUUAUAAUUUAAUUUCAUUGGAACACCUUUAUUCAUAAAACAUGAAAAUUUACCUUUUUAAAUCCAUUUUUUCAUAGAAUUCAUGAAAUCAUCUAAAAACCACCCUAGAUAAUUAAAAUGACAGUAAGUUUACUCACAAUGUCUAGAGUGCAGAUUUUCGAAAUACUUAGACUACUGAUCCUUGGGUGUAUUUCCCUUGCCUUUAUCGAAGGACCCACCACCUUGACAUAGUACAAAAUCGAGAAACUUACUACAUUGGUAUUAAAUUGAAAUUAAACUAAUUUAAACUACUAAUGCAUGAUAUGGAAUGCAAAAAUGCGUUGGUAACUAUCUAAACCCGGUAUUAGCCUAAUUCAUCUUAUCAUCCGAUUCAAUUACUAACGCGUCCAAUUUAAUCCCAAAUUACUCCAUUUCUUUUCUAAUACCUCAAUUCACCAAACAUUAUUCAAAUAACACCAGUUUCAGCAUCAAAACCUUCCCAUUUCUUCAUUUAAAAAUUUAGCCAUUAUAGUGCAUUAACACUGUGAUUUUUCCUACUUAAUUUUCUCACAAUUAUUCAUCAUUUUCUAAGCCAUUUCUCUUGAAAUAAUAACAAUCCAUCACCCACACACAUCAAGGAAGAUUUGGCCAUGAAGAUUCAUGGGGAAAAUGGAUUUCUUUCUUGUUGUUUUGCUUCUAAAUAUGCUAAACUAACUAAAAACACUAACAUAACUUAAAAUCAAAUCAAUCCAACAUCUUUCUCUCUCCAUACCCAUUUUGACUAGCCAUGAAUUCAUCAUGAAAACAUGUAAUUUAAGCAUGAAAAAUAAGGAGAAAUGCUUAAGAAAAAUAGAUUUCUAGCUUAAGUUGAAAAAUCCUACCUUUUUCACUUAUUUUCCUUGAUUUUCCACACUUUUUCUCUUGAAAUUCUUCACCUAGGGUUUGUUCUUCCUUUCUUUUCCUCUCUUCCUUGCUUGGCCGAAUAUUUGGAUAGUAAUGGGCUGAUUUAUGCUGAUUUUUAAGUUAAAUAAUAAAAUAUCUUAAGCUUGAUACUUGUCAUUUUCUUAUUGGUCCAUUUUUAAACUUUAAAAAUUUUAAACCUUUUAUCUCCACCACAUGAUUAGUCAAAGGUCAAAAAUGAGAAUAAGGGAAGACCAUGUGCUGGACAAAUGUCCUGGUGGUGGAAAAUUACAAUUUUGCCCCUAGGGUGACAAAAUUACCAUUUUAUCCGUAUACUCCAAAUUAUACCGAAAUUAAAAUUUUUCACUUCUAAACCUCAAAUCAUACUCCAAUAAGUCAAAUGGGGCCAAAAAAAUCUUUUCUAAAAUUCUCAUUUUGUCCCCAAGUGGCAAAUGACCAUUUUGCCCCUAGAUAGUGAAAAUUUCGGUUUGACUCCAAAUUGAUCCUCGAACUCCGAAUUACCAAUUUGAGUCAUCCUUGGAUCGUGAAACUCUCAAUUUCACCUUAAAAUUCCUAUUUGAACUAGUUCGAGGCUUAAAUCAACUUUGUUGUACCUCUAGGUACAAUACUGACUUUUGUAAAUUUUUCGGAACUCUCUUAGCAUGCAAACAUUCUAUCCAUCACAUGUAUGUCAUGACAAGUAUUUAUAAAGUCGGGCUUGACAAUUUAAGUUAGACUUAAAUCAUAUGCUAGGUAAUUAACUUCUAUAAACUUAAUUAAAAAGAGUUUAAUUAUGUCACGACCCGGAACUCCCAUCGAGCCCGUGACAACCGCCGCGACGUCCCGAUAGGCACUCAUUACCCCGAAUGCCGAUCGAAACCCCGUAAGGCUUAGCAUCAGCUUCUGCAUCUCCCCAGUGAGUGACAGUUAUUAAAUUUCACAUUUCAAAAAAAAAUCAUAAGUCAUUUCCAAAUCAAAACAAUAAAAUAUUACUUUCUGGCUCACAGGGGCAUUUUCGUCAUUUUUCUUCGAAAAUACCAAAACUCGUCAAAAACAUGGUAUAAAAGCUAAAUAUAUUUAUACAUACUUUAAAUCAAAUAACUGAAGAAUAAAAUUACUUUUUCAGUGACACGUGGGCCCCCAACUGACUAAGAAGAUGUAGGGCUAUGAACCCUUACUUCCUAUGAUGCAACUCCGAGAUUAAUUCUCGUCUUAAUCAACUAUCAACAAACUGUCCUGAGCCUAAAAAUGGAUAGGAAGAGGGGUGAGAUUAAAUAAUCCCAGUGAGUAAACAAUUACCAUCAAAAGCAUCUAAAGCCGAGUAGAUGGAGAUAAUAUAAAAACGUUAUAUCUCAAUAAUAUUCAUAACACAAAUUUCGUUUCAAUCUAUACCAAACAAUUUAUUUUCAUCAAAAUUUCCCGCUUAUGAAUUUCUUAAACUUGGCCCCUGCCAAAAUCAUUCUCGCAGGUACCUUCGUCAAGGUAUCCCACUGAGACCGCCAAGGCUGUUCAAUGACCCAUACCCAUAAACAUGUUUUCACAUCUAACACACAGCCGUUCCUUGGCGUUGGCUGAGUCUCACUCUCAN
Molecule: long non-coding RNA, 13456 nt
Filed under: Theobroma cacao (cacao)
Lineage: Eukaryota; Viridiplantae; Streptophyta; Magnoliopsida; Malvales; Malvaceae
Description: long non-coding RNA (TCAC_LNC002872)
Source: RNAcentral